Cylas formicarius (sweet potato weevil) is the source of this 580-nucleotide long non-coding RNA. RefSeq lists it as uncharacterized. The transcript is spliced from 3 exons. Lineage: Eukaryota; Metazoa; Arthropoda; Insecta; Coleoptera; Brentidae. The record is from RefSeq and is a predicted model, not a curated record.
UGUUGACUGACAAGAAUAUAAUUGCUGUUAAUCCGGCCCUGCUUCUUGUACAAAUGCAUAGUGGGGAGACAUGAACAUUUUUCGAAAUUGCGGCCCUAUCCUCUUGGGAUUCUACGUUGGACAAAUUCUGAAAACGACCCAGAAAUAUAAUUGGAGGUUCAAACCCGUGCGAGGUGAGGUUUGAUAUAUGAAACAGACCAGUCAUGGGGACACGAGAUAUGCAAAGUUUCAGCGUAGUCGUCGCCACAUUGCUGCCAACACUGCAUAUAUAAGGAAUCACGAACCAUUCAGGAAUAUUGAGACUUAGACCAGUAUCUUUUUAAGUAGGCAUGUGGGGUAAAGAAGACGCAGAAGCUUCAGUCGGGUACCAUCGGUAACGUAGGCGAUUAAUAUAUUUCCACCACUACAUAUGUUGGAUUGGAAUUUCCCAUUUGAUGCUUUGACUGACUAAAUGAGGAAACUUGGAGGUAAGCUCUUACGGAAUUCUAUCGAAAUAUGUUUAGUAACAUAUUGGUGCAUUACUCUGUCUUCCAGUCAGUUUCACAUAAACUUUGCACGUAUUAUAGAAAUGCCACCUACU